Molecule: ribosomal RNA, 246 nt
Filed under: Triticum aestivum (bread wheat)
Lineage: Eukaryota; Viridiplantae; Streptophyta; Magnoliopsida; Poales; Poaceae
Description: partial small subunit ribosomal RNA
Source: RNAcentral
AUGAACUGCAGAUACAGAGUUCCGGGCGAUGUCACAGCGGGAGCUCGUCAGGAAGUGCAGAGGCUCAAGGCCUCUGUGUCUCACCUGCAGACAGCCCUGCAGGAGCUGCAGAGCAGCGGGUUGCACUCGGAAGACGCCGGGAUUGGGGCUGCGGAAGCUAGGAAGGCCGACCUCAUGGAUAAGAAGGCCAAGCUGGACGAGACCCUGGCUGCAGCCCGCCAGUUCAGAGCACUGCUUCGGCAGUAG